CCGUUCUUGAGGAUUGCAGAGGAGACUGGAAUUCCCGGUGUAGCGGUGAAAUGUGUAGAGAUCGGGAGGAACACCGGUGGCGAAGGCGGGUCUCUGGGCAAUCCCUGACGCUGAGGCGCGAAAGCGUGGGGAGCAAACGGGAUUAGAUACCCCGGUAGUCCACGCUGUAAACGAUGACGACUAGGUGUGGGGGGGUUCAGUCCCUUCCGUGCCGCAGCUAACGCAUUAAGUCGUCCGCCUGGGGAGUACGGCCGCAAGGUUGAAACUCAAAGGAAUUGACGGGGGCCCGCACAAGCGGUGGAGCAUGUGGUUCAAUUCGAUGCUGAGCGAAGAACCUUACCUGGGCUUGACAUGCAGGAAGUAGAAACCGGAAACGGCGACGACCUGUUAAAUCAGGAGCUUGCACAGGUGGCGCAUGGCUGUCGUCAGCUCGUGCCGUGAGGUGUUGGGUUAAGUCCCGCAACGAGCGCAACCCUCACUCUAUGUUGCCAUCGGGUAAUGCCGGGCACUCUUAGGGAACCGCCGGCGAAGAGCUGGAGGAAGGGGGGGAUGACGUCAAGUCCGUAUGCCCCUUAUGUCCAGGGCUACACACAUGCUACAAUGGCCGAUACAGAGGGUUCCCAACCCGCGAGGGGGAGGCAAUCCCACAAAGUCGGUCUCAGUUCGGAUUGCAGGCUGCAACUCGCCUGCAUGAAGUC
This 698-nucleotide ribosomal RNA is filed under the name uncultured bacterium. RNAcentral describes it as "bacterial SSU rRNA". It matches the Rfam family "Bacterial small subunit ribosomal RNA", at positions 636 to 1327 of the family's 1533-position model. The record is from RNAcentral.